Molecule: ribosomal RNA, 396 nt
Filed under: uncultured bacterium
Lineage: Bacteria
Description: partial 16S ribosomal RNA
Rfam family: Bacterial small subunit ribosomal RNA
Source: RNAcentral
AUACGUAGGUGGCAAGCGUUGUCCGGAAUUAUUGGGCGUAAAGCGCAUGUAGGCGGUUUGGUAAGUCGGUCGUGAAAAUGCGGUGCUUAACGCCGUAAGGCGAUCGAAACUGCUGAACUUGAGGGCAGGAGAGGAAAGGGGAACUCCCAGUGUAGCGGUGAAAUGCGUAGAUCUUGGGAAGAACACCGGUGGCGAAGGCGCCUUUUUGGACUGUGUCUGACGCUCAGAUGCGAAAGCCAGGGUAGCGAACGGGAUUAGAUACCCCGGUAGUCCUGGCCGUAAACGAUGGGUACUAGGUGUGGGAGGUAUCGACUCCUUCCGUGCCGGAGUUAACGCAAUAAGUACCCCGCCUGGGGAGUACGGCCGCAAGGCUUAAACUCAAAUGAAUUGGCGGGG